RNAcentral lists this ribosomal RNA (638 nucleotides) under Parasthetops striatus. RNAcentral's name for it is "partial large subunit ribosomal RNA". The stretch from base 214 to 374 matches the Rfam family "Bacterial large subunit ribosomal RNA", at positions 2473 to 2632 of the family's 2925-position model. Lineage: Eukaryota; Metazoa; Arthropoda; Insecta; Coleoptera; Hydraenidae. The record is from RNAcentral.
AAGCUUAAAUUAAAUUAAAAGACGAGAAGACCCUAUAGAGUUUNAAUAAUUUUUUUANAUUNNUANUAUUUUUAGAAAAANUNNNUUUUAAUUNAAAAUAAUUAUUUUAUUGGGGUGAUAUAUAAAUUUAAUAAACUUUANUNAAAUNUUAAAACAUAUUUUUAUGAAUUAGUGAUCCAUUAUUNUAUGAUUAUAAGAUUUAAUUACCUUAGGGAUAACAGCGUAAUCUUUUUAAAGAGUUCUAAUCGAAAAAAAGGAUUGCGACCUCGAUGUUGGAUUAAAAUUAAUGUUUGGUGUAGAAGCUNAANAUAAUUAGGUCUGUUCGACCUUUAAAAUUUUACAUGAUCUGAGUUUAAAUCGGUGUGAGCCAGGUUGGUUUCUAUCUUUAAUAUNAAUAAAUUAUUUUAGUACGAAAGGACCAAAUAAUUAUAAAAAUUAUNNUUUAUUANUUGAAUAUUAAUNNGUUAUUUUGGCAGAAUAGUGCAUUAAAUUUAGAAUUUNAAUUAUGUAANNNNAAAAUUUACAAAUAAUANUUGUUUUUNAAAAGAUUUAAUUUUAUCAUUAGUUAGUGGAUUAUUAUUAGUAAUUUGUGUUUUAGUAGGAGUUGCAUUUUUAACUUUAUUAGAACGUAAGGUUUU